This 253-nucleotide ribosomal RNA is filed under the name uncultured bacterium. RNAcentral describes it as "partial 16S ribosomal RNA". It matches the Rfam family "Bacterial small subunit ribosomal RNA", at positions 524 to 776 of the family's 1533-position model. The record is from RNAcentral.
UACGUAGGGUGCAAGCGUUGUCCGGAAUUAUUGGGCGUAAAGAGCUCGUAGGCGGUUUGUCGCGUCUGCCGUGAAAGUCCGGGGCUCAACUCCGGAUCUGCGGUGGGUACGGGCAGACUAGAGUGAUGUAGGGGAGACUGGAAUUCCUGGUGUAGCGGUGAAAUGCGCAGAUAUCAGGAGGAACACCGAUGGCGAAGGCAGGUCUCUGGGCUGAUACUGACGCUCAUGCACGAAAGCGUGGGGAGCAAACAGG